UACGUAGGGCGCAAGCGUUGUCCGGAAUUAUUGGGCGUAAAGAGCUCGUAGGCGGUUUGUCGCGUCGGCCGUGAAAUCUCCACGCUUAACGUGGAGCGUGCGGUCGAUACGGGGCAGACUGGAGUCCGGUAGGGGAGUGUGGAAUUCCUGGUGUAGCGGUGAAAUGCGCAGAUAUCAGGAGGAACACCAACAGCGAAGGCAGCACUCUGGGCCGGUACUGACGCUGAGGAGCGAAAGCAUGGGGAGCGAACAGG
RNAcentral lists this ribosomal RNA (254 nucleotides) under uncultured bacterium. RNAcentral describes it as "partial 16S ribosomal RNA". It matches the Rfam family "Bacterial small subunit ribosomal RNA", at positions 524 to 776 of the family's 1533-position model. The record is from RNAcentral.